UACGGGGGGGGCAAGCGUUGUUCGGAAUUACUGGGCGUAAAGGGCUCGUAGGCGGCCAACUAAGUCAGACGUGAAAUCCCUCGGCUUAACCGGGGAACUGCGUCUGAUACUGGAUGGCUUGAGGUUGGGAGAGGGAUGCGGAAUUCCAGGUGUAGCGGUGAAAUGCGUAGAUAUCGGGAGGAACACCAGUGGCGAAGGCGAGUCUCUGGGAUGAUGCUGACGCUGAUGCGCGAAAGCCAGGGGAGCAAACGGG
Molecule: ribosomal RNA, 253 nt
Filed under: uncultured prokaryote
Description: partial 16S ribosomal RNA
Rfam family: Bacterial small subunit ribosomal RNA
Source: RNAcentral